Molecule: RNA transcript, 2726 nt
Organism: Salvia splendens (bonfire salvia)
Lineage: Eukaryota; Viridiplantae; Streptophyta; Magnoliopsida; Lamiales; Lamiaceae
Exons: 5
Source: RefSeq, a predicted model, not a curated record
ACACAAUUCCUAUCCCAUAUAUAGCUCUCCGUUAAUUAUUACUGUUAUAUUUUUUUACUAUCUUUCUUAACUAACUUUUGUGAUUUCAUGAUCCAUUGAGAUUUCAUGAUCCAUUGAUACAUGCGCACAAAUCACAAAUAUUUGGCAUAUAUGUACACAUGUUUGCUCUAGCUCUGUGAUCUUAUAUAUACUGCAUUUGUACAUUAGGAGUUUAUUUAUCUAUGGAGAAGGUUAUUCAUCAUUUUUGCCAUGAACAUCCUUUAUUUCUCACUAAACAACACGAUGAGGAGACUUUAAAUUGUUACGUAUGUGGUAAUGUUGUGACUAAUUGUGAGUUAGAAUAUACUUGCAAAGAACCUCAUUAUAAUAGUAAUAGUCGAAUUAUCAUCCAUAAAAUGUGUGGAGAGUUACCUCGUCGAAUACAUUCUCAUCCCUCACACCCUGAUCAUCCUCUUUACCUAUGUGAUUAUAGACUUAUGCCUAAAGGAUACUUCUGUAAUCCUUGUCGUUACAUAAUAGGCAGCAAGUUAGGAUAUAGGUGCCCUAUUUGUGAAUUUGACACUCGUGUAGAAUGCAUCAAAUUAGGGUUGUUGGAGGAGAGAAAGGAGCUGCAACACCUGAGCCACAUCCAUCCGUUGACACUGAUGAGAAAACACACCUUUCCGUUUAGCUGUGAUGGUUGUGGCACUGAAGAUGUGGACAUGGCGUACAUAUGCAUCAUGUGUGAAUAUUGGGUGCACGCGAGCUGUGCCUCGUUGCCUAUCCUUCUCCCACAAGAUCGCCACCAACACAAACACCAACUUUCUCUAGCCUUUUGUUUCCCAAUGGAACAUCGCAGAUACAUAUACAAUUGUGACGUUUGUGAUAAAGAGUUUGACAUGGCAUGUUGGCUCUAUUUCUGUGGUGAUUGCAGAUACUUUGCCCAUCUCAAAUGCGUUGGAUCCGUCACUGACUCAGACCAAACAAGACAUUUUAAGAUGACAAGGGCAAAGCAUUAGCGAAUGAUGCGCUCAGCUGCCGGCGACUGUAAGAAAGGCCGAGUGGGAUCACCACCCAUUGCUAUUCACAUUAGAUGCCUCUACAGACCAUCUUCUGCGAGUUUUGCGAAAGGGAAAUGCAUCCAAAGAAACCCAUGUAUCACUGCGAUCAGUCUUACCACUUUCAUUGUCUUCAGACUGGAUCUGUAACACCCAAAAUUUAAGCUACCAAAACAAGAGGAACUCGAUCCGACGAUGAAAACGAUCAAGAAAAAUGAUUGUUGAAGGAGAAUGGGAUGUUUAGAUGAUGACAAGUUGAGGAAUGCAUCUUUGGAAUUUUUAGGUUACCUUUUGGUUGCUGUAUUUGAGCAUGGAUGAAGGUUUCUAAAACGGCAGCGUUUAGGGAGGAAAGAAUGAGCUUUUGCAAUCACAUUUAGUCCCAUUAAAAAUGGACGUAUUCCUUUUUAGACAUGGCAGCAGACGUGGCGAUGCUCGUGGCGGCGGUCGUGGUGGGGGACGUGGAGAUCUCCCAAACGAAAAGGUUGCACGACAGUGUGAUCUGCGAGACAUCGAAAACGAUGAUCUGCAACAACAGGUUCGAGACCUACAACGACAUUGGCGCGACUGGAUGAGCGUUGGGGGAAAUCCAACCCGAUGAGGUCUAAUGCGUUGGAGCGUCGUCCGAUGGACGAUACAUUAUUUAGCGACGUCUUCACAUCAUCUGAUGCGGAUGAGUCGUCGAAGAAUAGUAAUAGCAAUAUAUUUUCGAUACCGGUGUAUGAUAUGCCUGUAUACGACUAGGAUAUAUUCUAUGAGCUCCCCGAACCACCGAAGAAUAGUAACAACAAUAUAUUGUCGAUACAUGUAUAUGAUAAUCCCGUAUACGACGAGGAUAUAUUGUCGAUGCAGGCAUAUGAUAAGCCCGUAUACGACGAGGAUAUAUUCUAUAAGCUCCCCGGAUUGAUGAGCAAAUCUCCGCCUCCUUCCGUGAAAUUUGACGACGAUGCCGAGGAAGAGGGCGUUGCCGUCUAUGACGAUGAGGUGUACGACGAGGCAUCAACGACUGGAGCCACAGGAUGGUUGAGAGGAAUAGUAAAAGCUAUUCCAUCUGGUGACUGCUAGGUGAUAAUGGGUUCCCCCAGGGAAGACAACUACUGUGUCUUCUCUAAUGGCUCAUGCAUUGGAUCCCCGAAGGGGUGGGCUCGAUGAACCAUUUCCAUGGCUGAGCAGAGAAUUCAUGAGGAAGCUUUGUAUUGGAAAGGAGGUCACUUUUAGAGUGGAUUAUACUGUACCAUUCAUUAAUCGGGAGUUUGGGUAUGUUUUCCUUUGGGAUAAGAAUGUGGCUUUGCUUGUGGUUAGCGACCCCGAUAAUUUUGAUGCUACGGCUCUAUUGGCUGCUAAGAAGGGCAGUCCUUUUCUUUUGUACAAUAUAAGGAGGUUGGUUGUAGAAGGCAAUGGUGGUGGAUUUGGGAGUGAGAAGAGGAGAAGGCCGUAGGGUUCGAAAGAUAUUGGAAGUUAAUCAUAAUAAAAAGAGGAAAAAUAUAAGACAGUUUGAAAAAUUGGGCAGAAUGGGAUGAUGGCAUUAUGACUGAUGUAGUUGGAGAAAUUUUGAUUCGGUUAAGAUGCUAUUUCAAUAAACCAAACUCAAGGAGGAGUUUUUUUCCAAGAAAGGUAGUAUGAUGUAGUUCUAGAAUAUGACUUAUAGUUUAGAUUUUUUAUAUUUCAUAGUUAGUAGAAUUAGUAGAUGAA